AACUAAUAUAAAGUUGUAUCUGUCAAUUAUAUCUCAACUUUAAAAAAGGAAAAAUAAAGAAUAAUAGGUCAUGACCAAGCUGAGUUUAAACCAGGAACACGGGGAUGAGUCAAUAUCAAGAAAUACAUUAAUAAAAUUUGUCAUAUUGAUAAAUCAAAUAUAAAAAACAGAUAGUCACCUCCAUUGCUCUUGAGGAGGCAUUCGAUCAAAGGAACCCAUUCUCUUUUCUCUUUUCAAAUUCUAGUUAGUUAAUAUGCAGUGCUAAGUGCAACUCAUUAUUGAUAAAAACAUUCAUUAAAAUAGGAAUCAAUGGCUAUUUCCUCCACAUAAUAAAUUUUCGUAGUCCAAAGUGAUUAUCCUACUUAACAGGGAAACACAGAAGGUUGGCCAGGCAAAGUGAGAAAGAGGCCUAGUGCACUACUAUUGUUAACAUCCUGUUAGAGAUAUCAGCCAAAGCAAUUAGAUGAGAAAAAGCAAUGUGAGGUAUAACAUUAGAAAGGAAGAGGAAAAAUUAUUCUUGUUUGCAAAUAAUCUUUGGGGGGAAAAAUCAAGAGAAUCAACUUAAAUAUUACUAUAAAUGAAAACUCAGUAUGAUCACAGAAAUAAAAAUUCAUACACAAAAAAACAACAGUUUUUCUGUAUACAAGUAACCACCAGUAAGAAGAUACAUUGUAAGAGAAAAUCCCAUUCAUAAUACUAACAUAAAAAUGAAAUGUCUAGGAAUGAGCUUAAAAAGGUAACGUAUAAAAUUUAGAUGACUAAAAUGUUAUGAUUCUUGACAAACAUAAAAUGAACCUGAACAUAUAGAAAGAUACAACAUGCUCUUAGAUGGGAAGAACAGAUUUCAUGAAGAUGUCAGUACUUCCUAACCUAAUUAACAAAUUUAACAUAAUCUUCCUUCCAACCCCUACCAUCCCCCCAAAAAACCUGAAAAAUUUCAGCCUAGAUAAGAUGAUUCUAAAGCUUAUAUGGAAAAAUGAACAGGAGUACCAGGAAAACAACAAAAACAAAAUAGCAAUGAGGGGAGAUAAGCCCUAUUCAAUAUUAAAACUUGCUACAAAUGUUCAAUAAUUAAAGGAGUGUGAAAGAGGCACAUGUACAGUCAGAGAUCAAUGAACAGGAUAAAAAAUGUGCCACAUGAGACAUAAAUAAUACUGGGAUUUAGUUUACGAUAAAGGUGGCAACACAAAUCUCUGGAAUAAAGAUCAUUAAUUUCUUUCCAGGGCUGGACAACAAUCCUCUAGGAAAAAAUGAGCGAAAGGACAAGAAUAAAUGGAAAACAAGAGACAUGACAAAUGGCCCUUAAACAUACGACAAUAUCCUCAACUCCAUUCAUGUUAUGGAUUGAACAGUUUCCCUCCAAAAUUUAUAUGGUGGAAUUCUAAUUUGCAGAACUUCAGAAAGUGACCUUAUUUGGAAAUAGAGUCUUUACAGAGAUAAUGAAGUUAAAAUGAUGCCAUCAGGUUACACCCUAAUCCAACAGGAGUGGUGUCCUUGUUGGGUGAGGACAUCUGCACACAGAUACAUGGAGAGUGAAGACAAGGUACAGGGAGCCAGAGAGAGAACGGCCGCCUACAAGUUGGGAAGGCGGCCUGGGAUAGAUCCUCUCUCACUGCCCUCAAAAGGCACCCACCCUAAUGACAUCUGGAUCUUGGACUUUAAGCUGCCAGAACCGUGAGACAAAAAAUUUCUUCUGUUUAAGCCACUUAGGCAGUGGUCCCUAGAAAACUAAUACAGCUGCUAUGAGAAAUGCAAGAGUUAUGAAAGGUAUACCGUAGCCUUAAAAAUGACGGCCCCUUUGUGUCUGAGUAAAAGAGGUCUUCCAACUUUAUACUAUAUACUUCCAUAUUGUUUUACUGUUUACAACAUAUCUUACAUUUGUAAUUCAAAAUUAAGUAAAAAAUGCAAUAAUCUUUCAUAAAACUUUUUAAAACUUCUCUUAUUAUUAUAUAUAAAUACAUACGUAAACACAAACAUGCUAUUUUUCUUUAAGAUGGAGUCAAUCAUAUUACAAAUAUUACUUUAUGUUUUUAACUUAAAAUAUGCUGUCAGCAAAAUAUAUUUAUCUCAAUUCUCUUGAAAGGCUACACUAUAUUUCACUGUUUGUGUAUAAUAAUGUUUAUAUAAUCAAUAGUCUCUUAACGGAUAAAUUAUUUAUUUCUUUUUUAAAAGUAGGUCACGCCCAGCAUGGAGCCCAGCACAGGGAUUGAACUCAUGACCUUCAGAUCAAGACCUGAGCUGAGUAGUAGAUCAAGAGAUGGAAGCUUAACCAACCAGUUGUAGCCUCUCAGGUGAUCUAACAGUCGCCGGAUCUCAGUGUCAUACUCCACCCAUUCUGGGACAAUCCUGGCAGCAGCUUGUAGCUUGGGUUCUUUUGUUUUGGGAUUAUUGCACUGAAAAUGUAAAUAAAGUUUUAUUAAUGAAAAACUA
This is a long non-coding RNA of Mustela erminea (ermine), 2430 nucleotides long. RefSeq lists it as uncharacterized. Lineage: Eukaryota; Metazoa; Chordata; Mammalia; Carnivora; Mustelidae. The record is from RefSeq and is a predicted model, not a curated record. The transcript is spliced from 2 exons.